AUACGUAGGGGGCUAGCGUUAUCCGGAUUUACUGGGCGUAAAGGGUGCGUAGGUGGUUUCUUAAGUCAGGAGUGAAAGGCUACGGCUCAACCGUAGUAAGCUCUUGAAACUGGGAAACUUGAGUGCAGGAGAGGAAAGUGGAAUUCCAUGUGUAGUGGUGAAAUGCGUAGAUAUAUGGAGGAACACCAGUGGCGAAGGCGGCUUACUAGAUCGAUACUGACGCUCAGUCACGAAAGCGUGGGUAGC
This 246-nucleotide ribosomal RNA is filed under the name uncultured bacterium. Its description in RNAcentral is "partial 16S ribosomal RNA". It matches the Rfam family "Bacterial small subunit ribosomal RNA", at positions 523 to 769 of the family's 1533-position model. The record is from RNAcentral.